CNANUUNAUGUUCUUCGUGAACAUGGCGGACUGCUCAGUAACACGUGGACAACCUACCCUUCGGUCCGGCAUAAUCCUGGGAAACUGGGGAUAAUUCCGGAUAGGUCACAGAUGCUGGAAUGCUCUGUGGCUCAAAGCUCCGGCGCCGAAGGAUGGGUCUGCGGCCUAUCAGGGUUGUAGUGGGUGUAACGUACCUACUAGCCUACGACGGGUACGGGUUGUGAGAGCAAGAGCCCGGAGAUGGAUUCUGAGACACGAAUCCAGGCCCUACGGGGUGCAGCAGGCGCGAAAACUUUACAAUGCGGGAAACCGUGAUAAGGGAAUCUCGAGUGCCAGCAUAUAAUGUUGGCUGUCCAGAUGCCUAAAAAGCAUUUGUUAGCAAGGGCCGGGCAAGACCGGUGCCAGCCGCCGCGGUAACACCGGCGGCCCGAGUGGUAACCGUUUUUAUUGGGUCUAAAGGGUCUGUAGCCGGCCAUGUAAGUCCCUUGGGAAAUCUGGCAGCUCAACUGUCAGGCUGCUAGGGGAUACUGCUUGGCUUGGGACCGGGAGAGGUGAGAGGUACCUUGAGGGUAGGGGUGAAAUCUUGUGAUCCUCGGGGGACCACCAGUGGCGAAGGCGUCUCACCAGAACGGGUCCGACGGUAAGGGACGAAAGCUAGGGGCACGAACCGGAUUAGAUACCCGGGUAGUCCUAGCCGUAAACGAUGCUCGCUAGGUGUCAGUCACGGUGCGACCGUGAUUGGUGCCGUAGGGAAGCCGUGAAGCGAGCCACCUGGGAAGUACGGCCGCAAGGCUGAAACUAAAGGAAUUGGCGGGGGAGCACUACAACGGGUGGCGCCUGCGGUUUAAAUUGGAUUCAACCNCCGGA
This 867-nucleotide ribosomal RNA is filed under the name uncultured Methanosarcinales archaeon. Its description in RNAcentral is "bacterial SSU rRNA". It matches the Rfam family "Archaeal small subunit ribosomal RNA", at positions 54 to 922 of the family's 1478-position model. Lineage: Archaea; Methanobacteriati; Methanobacteriota; Methanomicrobia; Methanosarcinales. The record is from RNAcentral.